RNAcentral lists this non-coding RNA (169 nucleotides) under pig gut metagenome. RNAcentral's name for it is "Lysine riboswitch". It matches the Rfam family "Lysine riboswitch aptamer". Rfam says of the family: Riboswitches are metabolite binding domains within certain messenger RNAs that serve as precision sensors for their corresponding targets. The record is from RNAcentral.
UCAGAUAGAGGUGCGGCAAAGAAAAGUAUCCGCUGAACAGACCUGCCAAGGUCGAUUACGCUACGGAAAAAGGCGAUGCCGCCGAAGGAAAUCAUUCGGCUCAUGAUUUCCUGAUUGCAUAUUGAACAAGUAUGCAAUUGUCAUCAUUUAUAUGAUGGAGUGCUAUCGG